UACGUAGGAUGCAAGCGUUAUUCGGAAUUAUUGGGCGUAAAGCCUGUGUAGGUGGUUGCAUAAGUCAGAUGUUUAAGACCGAAGCUUAACUUCGGAAGAGCAUUUGAUACUGUGCGACUAGAGUGCCAAAGGGGAAAGGGGAACUCAUGGUGUAGCGGUGAAAUGCGUAGAUAUCAUGGGGAAUACCGAAGGCGAAAGCACCUUUCUGGUGGGUAACUGACACUGAGACAGGAAAGCUAGGGGAGCAAAUGGG
This 253-nucleotide ribosomal RNA is filed under the name uncultured bacterium. RNAcentral describes it as "partial 16S ribosomal RNA". It matches the Rfam family "Bacterial small subunit ribosomal RNA", at positions 524 to 776 of the family's 1533-position model. The record is from RNAcentral.